CUGCAGAUCUUUGAGUACAACAGGAGCACCGUGGUGCUGAUGGUGGGGAAGAACUGCUUUGCGAUCGCCAUGGACCGAUUCCUGGGCAUGCAGCUGCAGACCAUCACCAGUGACUUCCAGAGGGUGUCCAAGAUCCACGGCAAGCUGUACAUCAGCCUCUUCGGCCUUGCAACGGAUGCCCAGGCGCAGUACCAGCGGCUAAUGUUCAAGCAUAAACUGUACCAGCUUCUAGAGGAGAGGGAUAGGAAGCCUGAGACCUUGGCCAGCCUUGUCUCCGCCCUCCUCCACGAGAAAAGGUUUGGACCAUACUUCUGCCAACAAAUUAUUGUUGGGCUAGGUGAAAAUGAUUAGCCAUUUAUAUGUACCAUGGACUGCAUUGGUGCCAAGUAUGUAUCAUUUAUCUUCAUAACAAAUUCUAAGCCAACCCAAGAAUAAAACAAAGCAUCAUCGCAUGCCAUUGAGGAUGACCAGGAGUACUAG
Molecule: ribosomal RNA, 480 nt
Filed under: Triticum aestivum (bread wheat)
Lineage: Eukaryota; Viridiplantae; Streptophyta; Magnoliopsida; Poales; Poaceae
Description: partial small subunit ribosomal RNA
Source: RNAcentral